Long non-coding RNA from Lycium barbarum (goji berry), 1317 nucleotides. RefSeq lists it as uncharacterized. The record is from RefSeq and is a predicted model, not a curated record. The transcript has 2 exons. NCBI's taxonomy places the organism in Eukaryota, Viridiplantae, Streptophyta, Magnoliopsida, Solanales, Solanaceae.
ACCCCCAUUUCCAUCCCAACCAAACGAACUUCUCUCCCCUUCAACCAACAGCUAACCAAAUGACGCCGCCAUCCCACCCCGUCACGUCACUUCCAUCACCUCGUCAGCACUGCCACGCCGUCGGACCGCUGGGUUAACGUGGUCAGCGACGCCACUGGCCUCACCAGUCACCUUUUCUCCUGUCACCCAUCUCCCUUUUUCUGAAAUGGAGCUUGACGACUCGUAAAAAGGUCGAUUGAGAACGGGAAAGAGCGAAUCCACAGCCAUCAAACCCACUUGAAAAGGUGAAAAUCCGUCACUUUUCUUCAUUUUUCCUCUUUUCGAAGUUUCAGAUUUUUUCCCCCUCUUUUGAUUCGAAAUUCAAAGGCAAAUUUCCCUUUGAAGAAGCUGUUGAAACCCUCAGUGUUUACCUAUAAAUACAGGCCUUCCUCGGCUGUUUUGAGACGAGGUUGGAAAAGGAGAGAAAAUCCCAUUUAAGAAAAACAAGUUUCAAGUGUAGAAAAUCCCCUUUAAGUUAACAAGUUCAAGUAUUAAAAAAUUACCUCUUGAACAAACGUUUUCACUACUGAAAACUAAGUUUGGAUUUUCAGAAAAUACUAUUCCUAACUCUUAAGUUUUUGGUUGUCGAAAUCCCCUCCUUCGGUUCUCGACUGAGCAAGGACCACUCUGAGCGGAUUCGGAGACUCGACGACGACAAUAGCUUCAGGUCGCUGUCACAUAGAAGGUAAAGAUAUUCAGAACGCAUAAAGGAGCAAAAUGAAGAAAAACAGGCCAAGGACACACUUUUGCACAACAUGCGAACCGCAUGUCAUGUUUGCGGAUCCACAAUUGCACCGCAUAGCAUGACAGGCCACUGAAUAAGAGAGAUGAAAGGUUGCGCAAUUUGCGAGAUCAACAGGCGAUUCACAUGUUAAACUUGCGAUACUACAAUGUUAACGCAAACCCUGUCCGAAAUUUGGGAAGCCUGAAGUCAAGAGCAUAACAUCCGGCUGUUGAGCAUGCUUCGCGUCUCGCAUGUUUGCCUUGCGACACAACAUGCAUCUGCAAGGUUAUUUUUGUCUAAACUUUAUGCACGUUUUUUGGGGGAUAUAAAUACCCUCCUACGGUUUUGAAAAAGACAUACUCUGCACUUAUUAUUGUCUUUUUGUGAAGGAAACAUUUAUUAUUGGUUGUAGGAGCUUUAAAGAAGAAUCCUGCACUUUAUUUUGUGGCUUUCUUCCAAAAAGCUUUGUAAGCAUUAUGCUACAUUAUUUAUCUUUGUCUCUUACUUAAUGCAAAUGUUUAGCUAAACCCAUUAGCUAAGGUUGUGAGACCAAA